GCUGAUCAGCCAUCCCGCGUGAGGACGACGGCCCUAUGGGUUGUAAACUUCUUUUGUAUAGGGAUAAACCUACUCUCGUGAGAGUAGCUGAAGGUACUAUACGAAUAAGCACCGGCUAACUCCGUGCCAGCAGCCGCGGUAAU
Molecule: ribosomal RNA, 143 nt
Filed under: uncultured bacterium
Lineage: Bacteria
Description: partial 16S ribosomal RNA
Rfam family: Bacterial small subunit ribosomal RNA
Source: RNAcentral